CCUACGGGAGGCUGCAGUGGGGAAUAUUGGGCAAUGGAGGAAACUCUGACCCAGCAACGCCGCGUGAAUGAUGAAGGUCUUCGGAUCGUAAAGUUCUUUUCUAAGGGAAGAAGAAAGUGACGGUACCUUAGGAAUAAGCCUCGGCUAACUACGUGCCAGCAGCCGCGGUAAUACGUAGGAGGCGAGCGUUAUCCGGAAUGACUGGGCGUAAAGGGGGCGUAGGUGGUUUGGCAAGUUAGUAGCGUAACUCCAAGGCUCAACCUUGGAACUACUACUAAAACUGUUGGACUUGAGUGCAGGAGGGGCAACCGGAAUUCCUAGUGUAGCGGUGGAAUGCGUAGAUAUUAGGAGGAACACCAGUGGCGAAGGCGGGUUGCUAGACUGUAACUGACACUGAGGCACGAAAGCGUGGGGAGCAAACAGGAUUAGAUACCCUGGUAGUC
RNAcentral lists this ribosomal RNA (443 nucleotides) under uncultured bacterium. RNAcentral describes it as "partial 16S ribosomal RNA". It matches the Rfam family "Bacterial small subunit ribosomal RNA", at positions 338 to 795 of the family's 1533-position model. The record is from RNAcentral.